CCAUAUAAAAUUAAUGUUAACUUUAUUAACAGAAAAUCUUUAAGACUGAUUAUUAUAGAAACGUUUUGACAUUUCAUUUGUUUAAAAAAUAAAAAAAAGAAUGGUUAAAGAGGUCUGCUUUAUCUCUAGACCACAAAGAAGUCCUCAACAGCUGUGAAGCAGCUCAUAUACUUUGCUGAUUAUCAUUGUAAUAAAAUAGUAUGUCAACAAAUUCAUCCUUUGCAAAAUCAUGUUAGCAUUAGAUUAUGUAAAUUAGGCCUAGUGAGGAAAUUUGCAUUGUAACAUGACAUGUUUUUUUUUUUUCUUUUGUUAGGAUUAAAAAUACUUCUCUGAAUAGCAUUCUUGUUUAGGUUGCAGAAGUAAGAUACUUUGUACUGCUUAUAAAUAUAAAGUGAAUGAGUAAUCAGAUGCAUUCCUUAUCCAGAAACAUUCCUGCUGCUCCUCUAAGAGCAGUUCAAGAUAUUAAGACUUCUCAUACAUUGUAUCCAAAGAAAAAUGUUUUACCAGAAAUUAGUAAUAAAAGACGACUUAAAUUUAUGAAUCCUAAAUAAAUCAGUUAUUUAUUAUAUCUGAUUUAAAUAUUAUUAAGAAAACCA
This is a long non-coding RNA of Centruroides sculpturatus (bark scorpion), 596 nucleotides long. RefSeq lists it as uncharacterized. Lineage: Eukaryota; Metazoa; Arthropoda; Arachnida; Scorpiones; Buthidae. The transcript is spliced from 4 exons. The record is from RefSeq and is a predicted model, not a curated record.